GGGCGGACGGCCAGCGUCGGAGCGCUCCAGCUUGUGAGAGAGCCUGGGCCUCUGAGUGACUGCGUGUACUUUAGGCUGCGCCUUUGCUAGUUUUCUAGAUGUCAGCAAGGUCCAGAAGACUUAGACCACCACAAGAUGCUCCUGCAGAUCUUCAACCUUUUCAGCCCAAGAGGUUGCUUGAAAUGACUGGCCUGGAGAAUUCCAUAUUGGGAAGUCCUGGAGAUCUGCUUGUGCAGGAGUUGAGGGUGGAAGGAUUCUCUUGAGCCAUAAUGACUCCUUACUAGCUGUGAAUCAGUCUCCAUCAGGAAAAGGAAGAAGAAAUCCACAUGUCUUCUCCAAAGACAGUCCAUAAGACUUAAUAGCUCAGGAAUCAGAUCUUAAGGAUUAUUAGGGACAGAUAUACUUCAUACUCCCACAUUUAGUCAUUUCAAAAUACUGUUUUUUCUGACUUUAUCAUUAAAUUAAAUGAAUAAAAUUUAUCACAACA
Non-coding RNA from Ictidomys tridecemlineatus (thirteen-lined ground squirrel), 487 nucleotides. NCBI's taxonomy places the organism in Eukaryota, Metazoa, Chordata, Mammalia, Rodentia, Sciuridae. The record is from RefSeq and is a predicted model, not a curated record.